UUUUAUGAGAGUUUGAUCCUGGCUCAGGACGAACGCUGGCGGCGUGCCUAAUACAUGCAAGUAGAACGCUGAGGUCUGGUGCUUGCACUAGACGGAUGAGUUGCGAACGGGUGAGUAACGCGUAGGUAACCUGC
This 134-nucleotide ribosomal RNA is filed under the name Streptococcus suis. RNAcentral describes it as "partial 16S ribosomal RNA". It matches the Rfam family "Bacterial small subunit ribosomal RNA", at positions 1 to 129 of the family's 1533-position model. Lineage: Bacteria; Bacillati; Bacillota; Bacilli; Lactobacillales; Streptococcaceae. The record is from RNAcentral.